Long non-coding RNA from Mesocricetus auratus (golden hamster), 658 nucleotides. RefSeq lists it as uncharacterized. The record is from RefSeq and is a predicted model, not a curated record. Lineage: Eukaryota; Metazoa; Chordata; Mammalia; Rodentia; Cricetidae. The transcript is spliced from 3 exons.
GCUUCUCACCAUGAUGAUAGUGGACUACACCUUUGAAACUGAUGAAAUAUUAAGGACUUGAAGAACAGCUCAUAAGACAAACAACUGCCAGAAGUCAAGAUGAACACAUGUGAGACUUAGUGAUCAAUUUGGGAACAAAGUAAAUGUCGGAAAAGAUGGAGUUACUGGCUAGAAGGAGUAGGAGGAAGAGGCUUCUUUGAAGCUGAAACAAGAAAAAGAGAAAAAGAAGAUGAGCACCGAACCCCAGGCUUUCAGAGAAAAGAGGCCCAAGGAGACGAGCGAAGAAAAGGGGCGGAGGUGAUGAAAUACAGACACCAGAAUCAGCCUUACCAGGCCCGUCUUUCAUCUUUCCCACUUUCUAGUUUCCAAUUCUCCUUCCUAGAAGACAUUAGAGACUUCCAAAGGCCAGUAUUUUGGGAUUUUUGUGUCCCCUGUCUGGGAAGGGGCCAAGAUUUGGGCUCUUCUUUGCAAGUAGAGAGACUUCCAUGAAUACAUAUGUCACCUUCUCAGGAGUGGGAAUGUGUGACUCAGAGACAGUGACUCACUGCCUUCCUGAUGCCACUGUGGGCUUGAUGAGGUGGGAGGGUACUGUGCUGAGUGGGCUGAGGUCUGCUUUUAGUUGCCUUAAGGCAUUUAAAUACAUAUUCUCGAUGCCUCA